This 827-nucleotide ribosomal RNA is filed under the name uncultured Neisseria sp. RNAcentral describes it as "bacterial SSU rRNA". It matches the Rfam family "Bacterial small subunit ribosomal RNA", at positions 51 to 867 of the family's 1533-position model. The record is from RNAcentral. Lineage: Bacteria; Pseudomonadati; Pseudomonadota; Betaproteobacteria; Neisseriales; Neisseriaceae.
ACACAUGCAAGUCGGACGGCAGCACAGAGAAGCUUGCUUCUUGGGUGGCGAGUGGCGAACGGGUGAGUAACAUAUCGGAACGUACCGGGCAGUGGGGGAUAACUAAUCGAAAGAUUAGCUAAUACCGCAUAUCUUCUGAGGAAGAAAGCAGGGGACCAUUUGGCCUUGCGCUGUUUGAGCGGCCGAUAUCUGAUUAGCUAGUUGGUGGGGUAAAGGCCUACCAAGGCGACGAUCAGUAGCGGGUCUGAGAGGAUGAUCCGCCACACUGGGACUGAGACACGGCCCAGACUCCUACGGGAGGCAGCAGUGGGGAAUUUUGGACAAUGGGCGCAAGCCUGAUCCAGCCAUGCCGCGUGUCUGAAGAAGGCCUUCGGGUUGUAAAGGACUUUUGUCAGGGAAGAAAAGGGCGGGGUUAAUACCCCUGUCUGAUGACGGUACCUGAAGAAUAAGCACCGGCUAACUACGUGCCAGCAGCCGCGGUAAUACGUAGGGUGCGAGCGUUAAUCGGAAUUACUGGGCGUAAAGCGGGCGCAGACGGUUACUUAAGCAGGAUGUGAAAUCCCCGGGCUCAACCUGGGAACUGCGUUCUGAACUGGGUGACUAGAGUGUGUCAGAGGGAGGUAGAAUUCCACGUGUAGCAGUGAAAUGCGUAGAGAUGUGGAGGAAUACCGAUGGCGAAGGCAGCCUCCUGGGAUAACACUGACGUUCAUGCCCGAAAGCGUGGGUAGCAAACAGGAUUAGAUACCCUGGUAGUCCACGCCCUAAACGAUGUCGAUUAGCUGUUGGGCAGCAUGACUGCUUAGUAGCGAAGCUAACGCGUGAAAUCG